UACGUAGGGCGCAAGCGUUGUCCGGAAUUAUUGGGCGUAAAGAGCUCGUAGGCGGUCUGUCGCGUCUGUUGUGAAAACUCGAGGCUCAACCUCGGGCUUGCAGUGGAUACGGGCAGACUAGAGUGCGGUAGGGGAGACUGGAAUUCCUGGUGUAGCGGUGGAAUGCGCAGAUAUCAGGAGGAACACCAAUGGCGAAGGCAGCACUCUGGGACGUGACUGACGCUGAGACGCGAAAGCGUGGGAGCAAACAGG
Molecule: ribosomal RNA, 252 nt
Filed under: uncultured bacterium
Lineage: Bacteria
Description: partial 16S ribosomal RNA
Rfam family: Bacterial small subunit ribosomal RNA
Source: RNAcentral